GCGGGAACAGAUAGUUAUUAAAUAAAAAAUGUAAAUAUAUCACAGCUUGUAGAUUACGUCUCAGUUGGUCCAGAGAAAGAAAGAGUUUUUCAAACUUAUACACCAGAAGGAAAUUACCUGAAAAAAAAAACAAUCUUAGCGGCACAUAAACAUUGUAUCUACUGAAUCCAUUUGAGUAACUCAAAC
Molecule: long non-coding RNA, 186 nt
Organism: Papilio polytes (common Mormon)
Lineage: Eukaryota; Metazoa; Arthropoda; Insecta; Lepidoptera; Papilionidae
Exons: 3
Source: RefSeq, a predicted model, not a curated record